Long non-coding RNA from Cucurbita pepo subsp. pepo (vegetable marrow), 536 nucleotides. RefSeq lists it as uncharacterized. The record is from RefSeq and is a predicted model, not a curated record. NCBI's taxonomy places the organism in Eukaryota, Viridiplantae, Streptophyta, Magnoliopsida, Cucurbitales, Cucurbitaceae.
AGUCCCUCGGUUCUGUAGCUUCGAAACAUAAUCUUCUUCGUUGUUUUCAUAAUAAUCAAACACUUUGAAGCUUCUUAAAACCAGUACCUCGCCAUUGAUCCGCCCCCACCAAUAAUCCACGCCGUCCAGUUUUCUCGCCGGUAUAUUCUUCUCUCCUUUCUUUCCAUUGGACCAUGCGCUACAUUUUCCACCAUCGCGCGUAAACGCUGGAUACUAUCGUCAGUUCUUCGCACGGGCCUUUCGAUGCCGUCCCAGCGCGUCAUAUAAAACGCUGCGGGCCACGAUCAUCGCUUCUGCCGUACACCUGUAACGUUACGACAUCGGGAGGCGGUGAAUUUUAGAGACCAGGUCACAGCAUGUGACAAUUCUCUAGCAAUUAUGUAGUAGCAGUAGCAGUUGCAGUUGCCUAAGAAUCUUGAAUUGUCGACCUCCUCUUCGUCAUGGAUUCUGAAGGACCCAGAAGCAAAAGCAAACUCGAUCUUGAAAGAAUAUGCACAAGCUUUCAUCAUGACUACGAAGUAACAAGCUUAUAAGAU